This 653-nucleotide ribosomal RNA is filed under the name uncultured Lachnospiraceae bacterium. Its description in RNAcentral is "bacterial SSU rRNA". It matches the Rfam family "Bacterial small subunit ribosomal RNA", at positions 62 to 717 of the family's 1533-position model. Lineage: Bacteria; Bacillati; Bacillota; Clostridia; Lachnospirales; Lachnospiraceae. The record is from RNAcentral.
UCGAACGGGAAACUUUUAUUGAAGCUUCGGCAGAUUUAGAUUGUUUCUAGUGGCGGACGGGUGAGUAACGCGUGGGUAACCUGCCUUGUACAGGGGGAUAACAGUCAGAAAUGACUGCUAAUACCGCAUAAGCGCACAGGACCGCAUGGUCCGGUGUGAAAAACUCCGGUGGUAUAAGAUGGACCCGCGUUGGAUUAGCUAGUUGGUGAGGUAACGGCCCACCAAGGCGACGAUCCAUAGCCGGCCUGAGAGGGUGAACGGCCACAUUGGGACUGAGACACGGCCCAGACUCCUACGGGAGGCAGCAGUGGGGAAUAUUGCACAAUGGGGGAAACCCUGAUGCAGCGACGCCGCGUGAAGGAAGAAGUAUCUCGGUAUGUAAACUUCUAUCAGCAGGGAAGAAAAUGACGGUACCUGACUAAGAAGCCCCGGCUAACUACGUGCCAGCAGCCGCGGUAAUACGUAGGGGGCAAGCGUUAUCCGGAUUUACUGGGUGUAAAGGGAGCGUAGACGGAUGGACAAGUCUGAUGUGAAAGGCUGGGGCUCAACCCCGGGACUGCAUUGGGAACUGCCCGUCUUGAGUGCCGGAGAGGUAAGCGGAAUUCCUAGUGUAGCGGUGAAAUGCGUAGAUAUUAGGAGGAACACCAGUGGCG